CCAAACUUGGUCAUUUAGAGGAAGUAAAAGUCGUAACAAGGUCUCCGUUGGUGAACCAGCGGAGGGAUCAUUACAGAGUCGCCUGACUCCCAAACCACUGUGAACCUACCUUCUUACCUGUGCUCCGGCGGGUCGCCCCGCGGGGGGGUGCCUGCCGAAAUGGCACUCGCCGGAGCCAACCUCCAAAAGUCUCUACACGCAAGGUAUUCUGAGUGUAAACAUAAAAAGAAUCACAACUUUCAACAAUGGAUCUCUUGGUUCCGGCAUCGAUGAAGAACGCAGC
Molecule: unclassified non-coding RNA, 283 nt
Filed under: uncultured fungus
Lineage: Eukaryota; Fungi
Description: partial contains small subunit ribosomal RNA, internal transcribed spacer 1, and 5.8S ribosomal RNA
Rfam family: Eukaryotic small subunit ribosomal RNA (bases 1-73)
Source: RNAcentral